Molecule: ribosomal RNA, 506 nt
Filed under: uncultured bacterium
Lineage: Bacteria
Description: partial 16S ribosomal RNA
Rfam family: Bacterial small subunit ribosomal RNA
Source: RNAcentral
GAUGAACGCUAGCUACAGGCUUAACACAUGCAAGUCGAGGGGUAACGAGAGGAAAGCUUGCUUUCCUUGUCGACGACCGGCGCACGGGUGAGUAACGCGUAUCCAACCUGCCCCCAACUAGGGAAUAACCUUGCGAAAGUAAGACUAAUACCCUAUAAUUUCCUCAGAUGUCAUCUGACGAGGAAUAAAGAUUUAUCGGUUGUGGAUGGGGAUGCGUCGGAUUAGCUUGUUGGCGGGGUAACGGCCCACCAAGGCAACGAUCAGUAGGGGUUCUGGGAGGAAGGGCCCCCACAUUGGAACGGAAACACGGUCCAAACUACUACGGGAGGGAGCAGUGAGGAAUAUUGGUCAAUGGGCGGAAGCCUGAACCAGCCAAGUAGCGUGCAGGAUGGCGGCCCUAUGGGUUGUAAACUGCUUUUAUACAGGAAUAAAGUUAGCCACGUGUGGUUAUUUGUAGGUACUGUAUGAAUAAGGACCGGCUAAUUCCGUGCCAGCCGCCGCAGUAA